AUCAGACGUGAUUACCCGCUGAACUUAAGCAUAUCACUAAGCGGAGGAAAAGAAACUAACAAGGAUUCCCCUAGUAACGGCGAGUGAACAGGGAUCAGCCCAGCACCGAAGCCUGUGGUCAUUUGGCCAUUAGGCAAUGUGGUGUUUAGGUCGUUCCGCAGGGACACUGCUCCUCUCUAAGUCCAUCAAUGAGUACGGUUGUACUGACAUGGCCCAUGGAGGGUGAAAGGCCCGUGAGAGAGGAGUUUUGUUGUGACAGUGUCCCUCUGGAUUGACCUUGGAGUCGGGUUGUUUGGGAAUGCAGCCCUAAGCGGGUGGUAAACUCCAUCCAAGGCUAAAUACAAGCACGAGUCCGAUAGCGAACAAGUACCGUGAGGGAAAGUUGAAAAGUACUUUGAAGAGAGAGUAAACAGUGCGUGAAACCGCUUAGAGGUAAACGGGUGGAGUUGAACUGCAAUCUCUGAGAAUUCAGCUGGGGAAAUUUGCUUGAGCUUGGUCAUUUGGGCAGGGCCUCGAGGUAUGCUUAGCUGCAUGUCCUGAUCUCACGGUCGGGAUGCGCGUUGCUCUUAUCAAGGGUUGCGCGCCUCGGGUGUCCGGCUGGCUCGUUCGCCAGUGCACUUUCUCAGAGUGAUCAUCACGACCGGCGCUGCUGCUGGGCUGUUUUAGUUAAAUCGGACAUUCAUCGUCCUUGUGGCGUUGGGUGGUCGACACGGCAGGUAACUGAGUGCUCGCUUCGGCUUGCUUUCCGGUGUAUGCUGGCUCUAACGGUUCUGUGCGGUGUGUCGGAGACGGCGGCUUGUGGUGUGUGCAUGUGUGCCUAUCUGGUGGCAUAUUCUGGUUUGGUAGCUGUGUGCUUGUUCAAGCAGGCCCAGUUAUAGCUGGAGUGUGUCAUUGGGUGGUUGCGUGUGUGUCACUUUUCAGGGCCAACAGUCUGUGAUGUCGUGGUAGACUAUCCACCUGACCCGUCUUGAAACACGGACCAAGGAGAGUAACAUGUACGCGAGUCAUUGGGCGUAACGAAACCCACAGGCGCAGUGAAAGUAAAGGUCUGGCUUGUCCAGUCUAAGGUGAGAUCCUGUCGUUGCUCAUGCGCGGUACCCCCAAGCUUGGAGCGAUAGGCGCAUCACCGGCCCGUCCCAUGACGUGGUCACAGUCCUCGGAUUGUGCGCCGUCGGGGCGGGGCAUGAGCGUACAUGUUGAGACCCGAAAGAUGGUGAACUAUGCUUGCGCAGGUUGAAGCCAGAGGAAACUCUGGUGGAGGACCGCAGCGAUU
RNAcentral lists this ribosomal RNA (1273 nucleotides) under Crepidostomum sp. 1 VS-2018. RNAcentral describes it as "LSU rRNA". It matches the Rfam family "Eukaryotic large subunit ribosomal RNA", at positions 10 to 885 of the family's 3401-position model. Lineage: Eukaryota; Metazoa; Platyhelminthes; Trematoda; Plagiorchiida; Allocreadiidae. The record is from RNAcentral.